This 353-nucleotide transfer-messenger RNA is filed under the name Patescibacteria group. Its description in RNAcentral is "01-FULL-48-32b sp001773725 Standard tmRNA". It matches the Rfam family "transfer-messenger RNA". From Rfam's summary of the family: Bacterial tmRNA, also known as 10Sa RNA or SsrA, is named for its dual tRNA and mRNA-like properties. RNAcentral also lists the same sequence under 3 other names. The record is from RNAcentral.
GGGGAUGACGGGAUUCGCUGAAUUAGCCCUUUGAAAACACGUCAAGCCGAGUUUGAACCAUACUCGUAAAACAGGCUCAAGCACAAGUGUCAAAAAGAAACUGACACGCGUAGCCAAAGCCCUCUUUAGAGAGCCGAACUACGCUUCUCGUUAUCUUUACGCUUAAGCGUGAUAAUGAGCAUCCCAAAGCUCCUUUCUCGACUGCAGCCUGGGGUGACAACCAAUCGAGAUGCCCCCGCCAAGUCUGACUAACACCAAAGUGGGGAAAGACUAGUUAGUCAAAAACAACAAGCUUGUACAAACGUGUCUCAAUCCUAAUUCACACGGGGGUUCAACUCCCCCCAUCUCCACCA